UACGAGAACCCCAAGCGUUAUCCGGAAUCAUUGGGCGUAAAGGGUGUGUAGGUGGUGUGGUUAGUCUUCUGUCAAAAUCUCGGGCUUAACCCGAGUCUUGCAGAGGAAACGGCCACACUCGAGGAUGCGAGAGGUGAAUGGAACUCAUGGAGUAGGGGGUAAGUAUCCGUUGAUAUCAUGGGGAACACCAAAAGCGAAGGCAAUUCACUGGGCGCCAUUCCCUGACACUGAAACA
RNAcentral lists this ribosomal RNA (235 nucleotides) under uncultured bacterium. RNAcentral describes it as "partial 16S ribosomal RNA". It matches the Rfam family "Bacterial small subunit ribosomal RNA", at positions 524 to 753 of the family's 1533-position model. The record is from RNAcentral.